CCUACGGGAGGCAGCAGUAGGGAAUUUUCCGCAAUGGGCGAAAGCCUGACGGAGCAAUACCGCGUGAGGGAUGACUGCCUAUGGGUUGUAAACCUCUUUUUUCAGGGAGGAAUAAAUGACGUGUACCUGAAGAAUAAGCAUCGGCUAACUCCGUGCCAGCAGCCGCGGUAAGACGGAGGAUGCAAGUGUUAUCCGGAAUCACUGGGCGUAAAGCGUCUGUAGGUGGCUCGACAAGUCAACUGUUAAAUCUUGAAGCUCAACUUCAAAAUCGCAGUCGAAACUAUCGGACUAGAGUAUAGUAGAGGUAAAGGGAAUUUCCAGUGGAGCGGUGAAAUGCGUAGAGAUUGGAAAGAACACCGAUGGCGAAGGCACUUUACUGGGCUAUUACUGACACUCAGAGACGAAAGCUAGGGUAGCAAAUGGGAUUAGAUACCCCAGUAGUCCUAGCCGUAAACAAUAGAUACUAGUAGUG
RNAcentral lists this ribosomal RNA (472 nucleotides) under uncultured bacterium. RNAcentral describes it as "bacterial SSU rRNA". It matches the Rfam family "Bacterial small subunit ribosomal RNA", at positions 338 to 824 of the family's 1533-position model. The record is from RNAcentral.